UACGUAGGCAGCAAGCGUUGUUCGGAGUUACUGGGCGUAAAGGGUGUGUAGGCGGUUCUUUAAGUUGGUGUGAAAUCUCCCGGCUCAACUGGGAGGGUGCGCCGAAUACUGAGGGACUAGAGUACGGGAGAGGAAAGUGGAAUUCCUGGUGUAGCGGUGAAAUGCGUAGAUAUCAGGAGGAACACCGGUGGCGAAGGCGGCAUCCUGGACCGACACUGACGCUGAGGCGCGAAAGCUAGGGUAGCAAACGGG
RNAcentral lists this ribosomal RNA (252 nucleotides) under uncultured bacterium. RNAcentral's name for it is "partial 16S ribosomal RNA". It matches the Rfam family "Bacterial small subunit ribosomal RNA", at positions 524 to 776 of the family's 1533-position model. The record is from RNAcentral.